GCCAGGUGUUGUGGCGGGCACCUGUGGUCCCAGCUACUUGGGAGGCGGAGGCAGGAGACUCGCUUGAGCCCAGGAGUUGGAGGUUGCUGUGAGCUGUAAUGCCACGGCACUCUACCCAGGGGGACAGCUUGAGGCUCUGUCUCAAGGUUUUAUGACUCCCUUUGGGGUAAAGGGGGUUCUAGUUUCUAUGAGCCUCCUCAGGGGAAGAGGGAAUCUAGUUUCUUUCUUUCUUUUUUUUUUUUUUUUGAGACAGAGCCUCGAGCUAUCCCCCUGGGUGGAGUGCUGUGGCAUCACAGCUCACAGCAACCUCCAACUCCUGGGCUCAAUCGAGUCUCCUGCCUCAG
Otolemur garnettii (small-eared galago) is the source of this 344-nucleotide non-coding RNA. The record is from Rfam. Lineage: Eukaryota; Metazoa; Chordata; Mammalia; Primates; Galagidae.